UGCAGUCGAGCGAUGAAACCCUUCGGGGUGGAUUAGCGGCGGACGGGUGAGUAACACGUGGGUAACCUGCCUCAAAGAGGGGGAUAGCCUCCCGAAAGGGAGAUUAAUACCGCAUAACAUUAGUUUUUCGCAUGAAGAACUAAUUAAAGGAGUAAUCCGCUUUGAGAUGGACCCGCGGCGCAUUAGCUAGUUGGUGAGGUAAAGGCUCACCAAGGCGACGAUGCGUAGCCGACCUGAGAGGGUGAUCGGCCACAUUGGAACUGAGACACGGUCCAGACUCCUACGGGAGGCAGCAGUGGGGAAUAUUGCACAAUGGGCGAAAGCCUGAUGCAGCAACGCCGCGUGAGUGAUGAAGGCCUUCGGGUUGUAAAGCUCUGUCUUUUGGGACGAUAAUGACGGUACCAAAGGAGGAAGCCACGGCUAACUACGUGCCAGCAGCCGCGGUAAUACGUAGGUGGCGAGCGUUGUCCGGAUUUACUGGGCGUAAAGGAUGCGUAGGCGGAUAUUUAAGUGAGAUGUGAAAUACCCGAGCUUAACUUGGGUGCUGCAUUUCAAACUGGAUAUCUAGAGUGUGGGAGAGGAGAAUGGAAUU
This 592-nucleotide ribosomal RNA is filed under the name uncultured bacterium. RNAcentral describes it as "bacterial SSU rRNA". It matches the Rfam family "Bacterial small subunit ribosomal RNA", at positions 56 to 668 of the family's 1533-position model. The record is from RNAcentral.